GAUGAACGCUGGCGGCGUGCCUAAUACAUGCAAGUCGAACGGUCCUUCGGGAUAGUGGCGGACGGGUGAGUAACACGUGGGAACGUACCCUUAGGUUCGGAACAACACAGGGAAACUUGUGCUAAUACCGGAUAAGCCCUUCGGGGGAAAGAUUUAUCGCCUUUGGAGCGGCCCGCGUCUGAUUAGCUUGUUGGUGAGGUAAUGGCUCACCAAGGCUACGAUCAGUAGCUGGUCUGAGAGGAUGGCCAGCCACACUGGGACUGAGACACGGCCCAGACUCCUACGGGAGGCAGCAGUGGGGAAUCUUGCGCAAUGGGCGAAAGCCUGACGCAGCCAUGCCGCGCGGAUGAUGAAGGUCUUAGGAUUGUAAAAUCCUUUCACCGGGGACGAUAAUGACGGUACCCGGAGAAGAAGCCCCGGCUAACUUCGUGCCAGCCGCCGCCGUAA
Molecule: ribosomal RNA, 447 nt
Filed under: uncultured bacterium
Lineage: Bacteria
Description: partial 16S ribosomal RNA
Rfam family: Bacterial small subunit ribosomal RNA
Source: RNAcentral